AGAGUUUGAUCCUGGCUCAGGAUGAACGCUAGCGGUUUGCCUAACACAUGCAAGUUGGACGGCGCCAUGCCUCUCGGGGGAUGGCGCAGUGGCGGACGGGUGAGGAGCGCGUAAGGACCUGCCCCUGGGAGGGGGAUAACAGCUGGAAACGGCUGCUAAUACCCCAUAGCCUGAGGAGGGAAAGGAGAGAUCCGCCCAGGGAGGGGCUUGCGUCUGAUUAGCUAGUUGGGGGGGGUAAUAGCCUCCCAAGGCAACGAUCAGUAGCUGGUCUGAGAGGAUGAUCAGCCACACUGGGACUGAGACACGGCCCAGACUCCUACGGGAGGCAGCAGUGAGGAAUCUUCCGCAAUGGGCGAAAGCCUGACGGGGCAAUGCCGCGUGGAGGAUGAAGGCCCAAUGGGUCGUAAACUCCUUUAGAUCAGAGACGAAGAGAUGACGGUACCUGAAGAACUAAGCAUCGGCUAAACCCCGUGCCAGCAGCCGCGGUAAGACGGGGGAUGCGAGCGUUAUUCGGAAUGAUUGGGCGUAAAGGGUCCGCAGGUGGCCCGGUCAGUCCGCUGUCAAAGCCUGGGGCUCAACCCUGGAGAGGCGGCGGAGACCACCGGGCUCGAGUCCGGUAGGGGCAGAGGGAAUUCCCGGUGGAGCGGUGAAAUGCGUAGAGAUCGGGAAGAACGCCAAGGGCGAAGGCACUCUGCUAGGCCUGAUUUCGCGACUGACACUCAGGGACGAGAGCCAGGGGAGCGAAUGGGAUUAGAUACCCCAGUAGUCC
Molecule: ribosomal RNA, 769 nt
Filed under: uncultured bacterium
Lineage: Bacteria
Description: bacterial SSU rRNA
Rfam family: Bacterial small subunit ribosomal RNA
Source: RNAcentral